GUGGGGAAUAUUGCGCAAUGGGCGAAAGCCUGACGCAGCGACGCCGCGUGGGUGAUGAAGGCCUUCGGGUCGUAAAGCCCUGUCGAGCGGGACGAAACGUGCAGGUCCUAACACGGCCUGCAUCUGACGGUACCGCUGGAGGAAGCCCCGGCUAACUCCGUGCCAGCAGCCGCGGUAAUACGGAGGGGGCUAGCGUUAUUCGGAAUUAUUGGGCGUAAAGGGCGUGUAGGCGGCUAUCUAAGUCUCAUGUGAAAGCCCUCGGCUUAACCGAGGAAUUGCAUGGGAAACUGGGUGGCUUGAGUCCGGGAGAGGAGAGCGGAAUUCCCAGUGUAGCGGUGAAAUGCGUAGAUAUUGGGAGGAACACCAGUGGCGAAAGCGGCUCUCUGGACCGGUACUGACGCUGAGACGCGAAAGCUAGGGGAGCAAACGGGAUUAGAAACCCCUGUAGUCC
This 451-nucleotide ribosomal RNA is filed under the name uncultured bacterium. RNAcentral describes it as "bacterial SSU rRNA". It matches the Rfam family "Bacterial small subunit ribosomal RNA", at positions 354 to 796 of the family's 1533-position model. The record is from RNAcentral.